CGGAUUUAUUGGGCGUAAAGAGCGUGUAGGCGGCUUUACAGGUCCGUUGUGAAAACUCGAGGCUCAACCUCGAGACGCCGGUGGAAACCGUAAAGCUAGAGUCCGGAAGAGGAGAGUGGAAUUCCUGGUGUAGCGGUGAAAUGCGCAGAUAUCAGGAGGAACACCCGUGGCGAAAGCGGCUCUCUGGGACGGUACUGACGCCGAGACGCGAAAGCGUGGGGAGCAAACAGG
RNAcentral lists this ribosomal RNA (231 nucleotides) under uncultured bacterium. RNAcentral's name for it is "partial 16S ribosomal RNA". It matches the Rfam family "Bacterial small subunit ribosomal RNA", at positions 546 to 776 of the family's 1533-position model. The record is from RNAcentral.